This is a long non-coding RNA of Hypanus sabinus (Atlantic stingray), 754 nucleotides long. RefSeq lists it as uncharacterized. The record is from RefSeq and is a predicted model, not a curated record. The transcript is spliced from 3 exons. NCBI's taxonomy places the organism in Eukaryota, Metazoa, Chordata, Chondrichthyes, Myliobatiformes, Dasyatidae.
GUCGAUCCAGCCACUCUCAACCAAUUGCUCCUUGUCUUCAGUAUGUUUCCUCUUGUUUGGUGGCCCCAACAUGACUAGUUAUUUUGCAGUUUUUUAUUCAAGUUAUCGCUCACUGCUAAAUCGUGUCUACUUCUUUGCUUUUGGGUCAAGCUUCCCCUGCAUUUCCUGACAGAGUGCUCUUGCCUUUUUACUGGCCUGGAGUAGCAGAGCACUUUUGAGGCCUGGCGGUUUCUGAUGUCCUGUAAGGUGGAGUUGAUCCAGCCAAGGACAGAGUCUUAGCAUGUGUCGCCACAAGCUUAUACUUUUAGAUCCAGGAUGAAGCCGGAUCUCACAAACCUUGGACCAGGCUUUAUCCGUCACCACCUUAUACCAUGGCCAAGUUGCUUGCUCAGUGAUCAACCCAGUAGGAAGGGAAGCGUGAAAGGAGCCGGCUGGAUUCAACACUGGGACCACUCGCCUCAAAGACCCAUGCGGAAGCCGCCACACCACUGGCUGGCAGGAGGCACAAACAGCAGCAAUGUUCCAGCUUGUGAAAUCGAAGGAUUACCCACAUAUUGCCUUGAUACUGUGCUGCAAAUUUCAUCUGUUGAAAGGUCAUCGAUGUUAAACGCGAACUUUGUUUCUCGCCCCAUGGGUACUGCCUGACCUGCUAAGUACCAUCAGCAUUUUCUGUUUUUGAUUGAGAUUUAAGUUGCUGCUUUCAUAUGUGAUUUGCUCUCCUUAAUACUGACAUCCUGUUUUCAGUGAGCUAGAA